Long non-coding RNA from Malania oleifera, 1918 nucleotides. RefSeq lists it as uncharacterized. The transcript has 5 exons. The record is from RefSeq and is a predicted model, not a curated record. NCBI's taxonomy places the organism in Eukaryota, Viridiplantae, Streptophyta, Magnoliopsida, Santalales, Ximeniaceae.
ACGCACAAAUCGAGAAAUGGUCCAAAUUUUUUUCCCUUCUUUUCUUCGAUUUUCUUGUUUUUUUUUCCUCUGCUUUUUUAUAUUUUUUUCAUCAAUUGAUUGCGUUGCUUCGGCUGUUCUUCAGCACUGCCCAGUUCCGCUACCGGAAUCAACAUCUUAAGAUUGAGUGAUGCACAAACCUAACCAGGAAAUAUACAACAGAAGACUCAAAACAAGCUGCCGUGCUAUGUGUAUCUUGGAAGCUUUUUGCAACAUGGAAUAUGGAGUGACUUGGAGUCCAAAUACAGGAUGUCCAAACUCAUGUUGUCUAUGGUUGAAAAAUUUGGUUUAUUUGGCUGACAACAUAAAACAGUGAUAAGAAAAAUUCUUGGAGAAGUUCAAAUGUGAAAUAAAUUGGCUUUUGGCUACUUUACUAUGCCUUAAAACUGUUAUAUAGUGAUCCUACGGAGGUUUUAAGACUGACGAAAAGUCCAUUAGUGAAAGGAAUGCGGCCAUUGUGCAACUCCUUAAUUGUUGCAUGGCAUGCGUUCAUUUUGACCAAUCAACCACGUUGUUCAAUCCUAUACCUUUUCUUCCUGCAAGUGAAAAUAAGAAAAAGAAAGAUUACCACUGCAGGUGUAGCAAUUAGCAUAAUGAUAAGAAGUAAGAGUGACAGAACUACUGCAGGAAAGAGGUCCUGGUAUGGCAUAAUGGAUCACAGCGAAUUUGAUGAUUUGUUUACAUGGGCACAAAAAGUUUGUGGUGUUUGUGAUCCUAUGUCUGACAUUUUCUCUGCUUCACUUCAUCUAAGAAAAUUUUUAUUUCUUUUGUUUCAAAGGGAGUGAGAGAUUGUAAAUAGAGAUCAGGAAUUGGGAGGCUAAGCAUUUUAUUGUGAAUAAACCAAAUGCCAUAUGGUUAUGGGCCUCGAAUUGCAUGCAUGACACAUGCAAUCAAACGUUAAUGCUUAAUCAUAUGGAUGGUGGUGCUAAGUUGUUGAGUCAAAGUAAUUGCUCUUUAUAUAUCUUCGGUUAUAUUGCAUCGAUGAAUAUUUAAGGUUUUCCUUUAAUGUUUAUAAUUUUUUAUUAUCUUACACUCAUAUUUUCAGGAUUCUUUCUUGAACUGCGUGGUUUUUUAGGGCUGUUUUUAUCAUUGUGUGUCCUUUUUAAUAAUAUGAAGUGCUGUUCUAGAAAAUUGUUCCUUUGUUACAUUCUUUAGUCUUUUGACAUGCAAUUGUGCUUCAUUUUCUUUUCUCUAAAUGAAUUCCUAUCUUUAAAUGUGGUGGAAAUUUGGUUAGGGUUGCUUUCAAAUUGGACAACUACAAGGCCCGAGCCUCGUCUAUCUAAAUCCCAAAUGACCAGAGCUUGGAUUUUAAACAGCACUACUUAUUUGAUCUUAAGGAUAUUUUUCUCCAUUCUAUAUCUGUCUCAGUACAGUAGAAGGAAUUUUUGGCUGCUUUUGAGGUCAAUAAAGCAGCUACUCAGGAUGCCAGCAGUUCUACUGUCAGCAUUUGAUAACGGAUCCUGGAUUCUAGUAACAUACUGUUACGUUAUUUAAGGGCUCUGGCGUUGGUUCUUGGAAGCAUGGGGAAUCAUCAUCAUCUUCUGUUGUUUUCCAGUGGCCUAUUUAACACUCCCAGCUGGACAAUGACUGAAUUCUCAGUUUCAAUUGGGGAGAUGCAAGAAAAAUACAAGGAGAUGAAAACAUGCUCUUGUCAUUUUAUGCAAUUGAUGUGACUUUAGUGCAUAAGGAACCUAUGAUGUAGUAGCGAGACUGAGAUGAUAAGGUAAAAAAGCUGAAGAGCAAGUGGCAGAUGCCUGAAGGGUAUGGUUGUAAACUGUAAGCGGAUUCACAGGCUUGAGCUAUGCCGCUGAUUCUAAACUCUUGUGACAAGGUCUGGCUAAUAAUGAAUUGAUGAAAAUCAUAAUUUUCUGCUUGUACA